RNAcentral lists this ribosomal RNA (253 nucleotides) under uncultured bacterium. RNAcentral's name for it is "partial 16S ribosomal RNA". It matches the Rfam family "Bacterial small subunit ribosomal RNA", at positions 524 to 776 of the family's 1533-position model. The record is from RNAcentral.
UACGUAGGGUGCAGGCGUUAAUCGGAAUUACUGGGCGUAAAGCGUGUGCAGGCGGUGAUGUAAGACAGUUGUGAAAUCCCCGGGCUCAACCUGGGAACUGCAUCUGUGACUGCAUCGCUGGAGUGCGGCAGAGGGGGAUGGAAUUCCGCGUGUAGCAGUGAAAUGCGUAGAUAUGCGGAGGAACACCGAUGGCGAAGGCAAUCCCCUGGGCCUGCACUGACGCUCAUGCACGAAAGCGUGGGGAGCAAACAGG